AGCUAUGCACAAGAAUAACAUAUUUGCAGCAAUGAUUAAACAAUAAUAUUGAGAGUGAAAGUGUGGAUGACUUACCUACGGCGAGGAGGUUUUCGCCGGAUUAUUGUUGAAGGAUCCUUUGAUGAAGAUGAUACCACCUUUUUGGAUAUUAGGGAGACUUGAAGAUGGACUUCAAGUUGGAACUCUCCACCAAGGUAUGAAGAAUUUCUUCUUCACUCCCCUUCAAGAACUAUGUAGCUAGAAACUCUUAUGUUUUUUUCAAGUAGUUUUCUUUGAUUUGAAGAAUUUCUCCUUCUCACAAAGAAACAUGAAAACUAUAAGAGAAGAGGAAGAAGUGAGAAAGCUAGUAGUAUAGUAGCUUUGGUGUGUUUUGCAAUGAAGUGAGGCCUUCUAUUUAUAGGAAAAGUUAAGGAAGUGUUUGGCAUUUGGUAAACUUGAAUGGCAAGUUUCAAUCAUUGCAAGAUAAGAAAAAGAAUAAGAAUAUUCUUUAUGAGAUUUUUCUCUUGCAAGUGGACAUGAAAUAUCUUUGAUUCCUUUUUGAAUUAUUUCUUUUUUUUGAAUUAUUUCCUUUGUUGGAUUUUUGCUAAUCCCACCCCUUUUUGUCUUGAAUUAUUCUUUUGCUAAAUUCACCCCUCUUAUGUUUCUUUUUCAUGUUGCAUGAGGACUUUGAAGAAAGCAUGAAGAAGCUUGAACUUGAAGGAUGAAGACUUUGAAGAUUGAAGAAUUCAAGAAAGCAUUGCAUUUUCUUUUAUUCUUUGUAAUCCAAAUUUAUUCCACUUUAGAAUUGUAUGAACUUGUAUUCUUGAAAGUGAAUAGAAUUUUGGAAUGAUGUAAUUCUUGAAUUUUGGAUUCAUUUGUUCCAUGUAAAGAAACAUCAUUUGUAAAUGCUUGAAUUUCUCUUAGAA
This is a long non-coding RNA of Vicia villosa (hairy vetch), 905 nucleotides long. RefSeq lists it as uncharacterized. Lineage: Eukaryota; Viridiplantae; Streptophyta; Magnoliopsida; Fabales; Fabaceae. The transcript is spliced from 2 exons. The record is from RefSeq and is a predicted model, not a curated record.